This 1104-nucleotide long non-coding RNA is filed under the name Oryctolagus cuniculus (rabbit). Its description in RNAcentral is "lncRNA (ENSOCUG00000034425.1)". The record is from RNAcentral. Lineage: Eukaryota; Metazoa; Chordata; Mammalia; Lagomorpha; Leporidae.
GGUAGUACAGUAGCCCCUGUAUUCGUAUAUAGAGGAGCUUAAAGAAAGCUAAUUGCAUCUCAUUCAAAACGACUGAUUUACAAAUUUGUAUAUGCGGGGCCCGGGGCCCGGGGCCGGGGGCUGGGACCCCGCGGGGCGGGAGAAGGACCGGGGAAAGCGUGUCCCUCGGCCGGCGCCGCGCGCGGGGCGCGGGGAGGCGUGGGAGAGCUGCUGCGUAAUGCCGAGAGAAAAUCCACUUUCCUCCAAUUGUCUGGCCCAUUUUGGGCGGCAGCGGCAAGUUGGAAGAGAAGGGGUGCCUUGGCCAGUACAUGUGUGGUUUUUCAGGGAAGAUUCACUACUGUGAGCCGUGGACGAGUUAGGAGCUAUACCUUCAAACGGGAGAAGACGCAGGGUGCGAGGCUGAUGGCUCCCUAGGAGCCCCUUUCUUCCCACCUGCCGGCCGCGCGGUCCGGACGGGGAGACCAGCGGCCCCUUCCCGAGGGUGUGCAGAGACUCAGAGUGAUAAGGUUUUCAUUUCCAACAUGGAAAAACUAAUCCUGAACCUAGAGCCUUGAGAAGUGGGUGUUUCUGAGAAAGCUGGUUUAGUCCAGGGCGAUUCCCAGGGUCCUGCGGGACCCACAGCAUAACCAGGGCCAGGGGAGGGGUGGAGGGAGGCCCAGACCCUUGGCCGGGAGAGAGGCUGCCUGGGAGGGCCGCUGCACCCCUGGAAGAGGAAAUCCAGGGUGCAUCCGGGGCUCUUCUUGUUCCCAGAGGGUUGGGAGAUAAUCACCAAACACAUCCCUUGAGCUGCUCCCUCCUUGGACUAGUAGAGCAGCGGAGAAAUAAGAGGAGGGCCCCAGCCAGGGAAAGACAAGACUCCAGGUCAGUUACAGCCAAGUCUGUAUCAGAGUGAGACCUGACUUGUGGCCACACAUGGCCCAUAAAACUCAUCCUCAAAAAAAAAAAAAAAAAACUCUGGAGAGAGCAGCCUGAGCCCUUGGGAACUGAGUCCAGGAGGACAGGGCAAAAGUGAUAGUGACCCCUGCCUGGUUCAUCUUUCCCAGGAGAGUGAAGGGCAGGGGUCCCGCUCCCAGCCCUGUCCCUUCCAAGGCGAGCAGAGCUCAC